Molecule: long non-coding RNA, 198 nt
Organism: Triticum aestivum (bread wheat)
Lineage: Eukaryota; Viridiplantae; Streptophyta; Magnoliopsida; Poales; Poaceae
Exons: 3
Source: RefSeq, a predicted model, not a curated record
GAAACAGUGAAAUAGUGGAGCACAUAGUUAGCAUUGACGACAUGGAGAAGCUAAUGAACCCAAUGCUAAAUCAUUCAGAUCCUGCAAACCAACUAAUCUUACAGGAAAGUAAUGUUGGCUUCAGUUUAUUGAAUGCUUCCUUGGUAAAAAUGCCCAUAUUCAAAGAAAAACAAUGGAUUUUAAUCAUUGCUAACUUCA